RNAcentral lists this small nucleolar RNA (128 nucleotides) under Peromyscus maniculatus bairdii (prairie deer mouse). RNAcentral describes it as "Small nucleolar RNA SNORA40 (ENSPEMG00000024845.1)". It matches the Rfam family "Small nucleolar RNA SNORA40". From Rfam's summary of the family: The snoRNA ACA 40 belongs to the H/ACA family of snoRNAs and guides the pseudouridylation of 28S rRNA subunit at position U4565. NB This family has a high threshold value to exclude a large number of closely related sequences that do not appear to have conserved H and ACA boxes, and may be pseudogenes. Lineage: Eukaryota; Metazoa; Chordata; Mammalia; Rodentia; Cricetidae. The record is from Rfam by way of RNAcentral. RNAcentral also lists the same sequence under 1 other name.
AGCACUUGAGUAUGGUUUUGUUCAGCUGGUGGACAAAGGCAGGCUAGACAGGUGCAACAGUAAAUCCUCUUUUGCAACCCAGAACUCAUUGUUCAGUAUGAGUUUUGAUACAUACAAGAAGGAAUAUA